RNAcentral lists this ribosomal RNA (510 nucleotides) under uncultured bacterium. RNAcentral describes it as "partial 16S ribosomal RNA". It matches the Rfam family "Bacterial small subunit ribosomal RNA", at positions 28 to 507 of the family's 1533-position model. The record is from RNAcentral.
GACGAACGCUGGCGGCGUGCUUAACACAUGCAAGUCGAACGAAGAGCGAUGGAAGCUUGCUUCUAUCAAUCUUAGUGGCGAACGGGUGAGUAACGCGUAAUCAACCUGCCCUUCAGAGGGGGACAACAGUUGGAAACGACUGCUAAUACCGCAUACGAUCUAACCUCGGCAUCGAGGAAAGAUGAAAGGUGGCCUCUAUGUAUAAGCUAUCACUGAAGGAGGGGAUUGCGUCUGAUUAGCUAGGUGGGGGGGUAACGGCCCACCAAGGCGAUGAUCAGUAGCCGGUCUGAGAGGAUGGACGGCCACAUUGGGACUGAGACACGGCCCAGACUCCUACGGGAGGCAGCAGUGGGGAAUCUUCCGCAAUGGACGAAAGUCUGACGGAGCAACGCCGCGUGAGGGAUGACGGCCUUCGGGUUGUAAAGCUCUGUUAAUCGGGACGAAAGGCCUUCUUGCGAAUAGUGAGAAGGAUUGACGGUACCGGAAUAGAAAGCCACGGCUAACUACGUG